This is a non-coding RNA of Triticum aestivum (bread wheat), 135 nucleotides long. The record is from Rfam. Lineage: Eukaryota; Viridiplantae; Streptophyta; Magnoliopsida; Poales; Poaceae.
GUAAUACUCCCUCCGUCUAGAAAUACUUAUCAUCAAAAUGGAUAAAAGAGGAUGUAUCUAGAUGUAUUUUAGUUUUAGAUACAUCUCUUUUUAUCCAUUUUAAUGACAAGUAUUUUCGGACGGAGGGAGUAGUUA